This 69-nucleotide transfer RNA is filed under the name Trichuris suis (pig whipworm). It matches the Rfam family "tRNA". From Rfam's summary of the family: Transfer RNA (tRNA) molecules are approximately 80 nucleotides in length. Their secondary structure includes four short double-helical elements and three loops (D, anti-codon, and T loops). Lineage: Eukaryota; Metazoa; Nematoda; Enoplea; Trichinellida; Trichuridae. The record is from Rfam by way of RNAcentral.
GGUUCUGUAGGUCAGUGGUGCACUGGUCUUAUAAACCAGGGGUUGAGAGUUCAAUUUCCUCCAGGAGCU